This 1551-nucleotide ribosomal RNA is filed under the name Klebsiella pneumoniae. RNAcentral's name for it is "bacterial SSU rRNA". It matches the Rfam family "Bacterial small subunit ribosomal RNA". Lineage: Bacteria; Pseudomonadati; Pseudomonadota; Gammaproteobacteria; Enterobacterales; Enterobacteriaceae. The record is from RNAcentral.
AAAUUGAAGAGUUUGAUCAUGGCUCAGAUUGAACGCUGGCGGCAGGCCUAACACAUGCAAGUCGAGCGGUAGCACAGAGAGCUUGCUCUCGGGUGACGAGCGGCGGACGGGUGAGUAAUGUCUGGGAAACUGCCUGAUGGAGGGGGAUAACUACUGGAAACGGUAGCUAAUACCGCAUAAUGUCGCAAGACCAAAGUGGGGGACCUUCGGGCCUCAUGCCAUCAGAUGUGCCCAGAUGGGAUUAGCUAGUAGGUGGGGUAACGGCUCACCUAGGCGACGAUCCCUAGCUGGUCUGAGAGGAUGACCAGCCACACUGGAACUGAGACACGGUCCAGACUCCUACGGGAGGCAGCAGUGGGGAAUAUUGCACAAUGGGCGCAAGCCUGAUGCAGCCAUGCCGCGUGUGUGAAGAAGGCCUUCGGGUUGUAAAGCACUUUCAGCGGGGAGGAAGGCGUUAAGGUUAAUAACCUUGGCCGAUUGACGUUACCCGCAGAAGAAGCACCGGCUAACUCCGUGCCAGCAGCCGCGGUAAUACGGAGGGUGCAAGCGUUAAUCGGAAUUACUGGGCGUAAAGCGCACGCAGGCGGUCUGUCAAGUCGGAUGUGAAAUCCCCGGGCUCAACCUGGGAACUGCAUUCGAAACUGGCAGGCUAGAGUCUUGUAGAGGGGGGUAGAAUUCCAGGUGUAGCGGUGAAAUGCGUAGAGAUCUGGAGGAAUACCGGUGGCGAAGGCGGCCCCCUGGACAAAGACUGACGCUCAGGUGCGAAAGCGUGGGGAGCAAACAGGAUUAGAUACCCUGGUAGUCCACGCCGUAAACGAUGUCGAUUUGGAGGUUGUGCCCUUGAGGCGUGGCUUCCGGAGCUAACGCGUUAAAUCGACCGCCUGGGGAGUACGGCCGCAAGGUUAAAACUCAAAUGAAUUGACGGGGGCCCGCACAAGCGGUGGAGCAUGUGGUUUAAUUCGAUGCAACGCGAAGAACCUUACCUGGUCUUGACAUCCACAGAACUUUCCAGAGAUGGAUUGGUGCCUUCGGGAACUGUGAGACAGGUGCUGCAUGGCUGUCGUCAGCUCGUGUUGUGAAAUGUUGGGUUAAGUCCCGCAACGAGCGCAACCCUUAUCCUUUGUUGCCAGCGGUCCGGCCGGGAACUCAAAGGAGACUGCCAGUGAUAAACUGGAGGAAGGUGGGGAUGACGUCAAGUCAUCAUGGCCCUUACGACCAGGGCUACACACGUGCUACAAUGGCAUAUACAAAGAGAAGCGACCUCGCGAGAGCAAGCGGACCUCAUAAAGUAUGUCGUAGUCCGGAUUGGAGUCUGCAACUCGACUCCAUGAAGUCGGAAUCGCUAGUAAUCGUAGAUCAGAAUGCUACGGUGAAUACGUUCCCGGGCCUUGUACACACCGCCCGUCACACCAUGGGAGUGGGUUGCAAAAGAAGUAGGUAGCUUAACCUUCGGGAGGGCGCUUACCACUUUGUGAUUCAUGACUGGGGUGAAGUCGUAACAAGGUAACCGUAGGGGAACCUGCGGUUGGAUCACCUCCUUACCUUAAAGAA